CACUGUAAGUCUACUUGAGAUCCAAAGGAUUUGCCUUUGUGGAGUUUGAAGCAAAAACAAAAGAAGCAAAAUCUACUGAAGUAGUUCAGAUCCUAAAAAGAAAAAAAAUGCAAAAAAUUUAACAAGUAUUAUAAAUAGUAAAGCUUUUUUUGCAAUCAUUUCGGUUUUUUAUCAACCCACCAGAAGCAGCACCAAAGAAAACUGGCAUGUUCUCUAAGAGUGAAAACUAAACCUAUUUUGCUCUUUAAUAACUGUAGUUGAAGGAAACUGAAAUUAAUGAUAGCAUUGUUACAGAAGAAAAGGAAAGGAAAAAUAAGAAGAAAGGCUGAAUGACGGAAGACAAUGGCCAGGCUAAAAAGUUAAUAUUGACACAGGCAAUACAAGCAUCUGCAAAAGGAAAAAAUUGAGAACUACAUCUGGAGGCUCUGAAAUAGAUACUACUAAACCUCAAAAGCAACCUUUAAAGGUAAAGAAAAAUUGAGAAAAACCUGAAAUAUUCAGCUUUCCUGAAGUCAGAACAGGGAAAAAGAGAAAUAGCUCUGAAAAUGCAGAAUUCCUGGCUUCCAAACCAAAAGCAAAUAAAAUGUCUCAAAACACACAUUUUAAAAUCUUUAAAAGUUUACAAAGAAAACAGAGGUAUAGCAACUUUAAGAUUAUAAUUAGAUAAACAAGGUUAUGUUUUACCCAUUUCAUAGCCACAAAUGUCUUAACUGGGUUUUUAAUUGCUCAAGAUUUAGAAAUCUCUACUGAAGAGGAAAAGGAUACUGAAGAUAUAAAAGAUGACGCUCUCUUUAAAAUAAGGAAGCAUUAAAAAAAACAUAAAAAGAAAUAUAAUAUGGGAAAGGUUAUCCAUUAAGAGUACUAUCAAAAUAAGUAUA
Molecule: long non-coding RNA, 878 nt
Filed under: Homo sapiens (human)
Lineage: Eukaryota; Metazoa; Chordata; Mammalia; Primates; Hominidae
Description: non-protein coding lnc-C3orf58-11:1
Source: RNAcentral